RNAcentral lists this long non-coding RNA (1513 nucleotides) under Mus caroli (Ryukyu mouse). RNAcentral's name for it is "lncRNA (MGP_CAROLIEiJ_G0004708.1)". The record is from RNAcentral. Lineage: Eukaryota; Metazoa; Chordata; Mammalia; Rodentia; Muridae.
AUUGCAGGUUCGAGGGUAGUGAGGAACUUACUAUAUAAAAGGACAAAAAGAGUUGUGAUGGCAAAAGUAUUAUCAGUUGAGUUUCAGCCAGGGUAAAGGAACACUCUGUACCCGGCCUGAGUCAGUCACUUAGAUAUUAAGGGAAGAAUAGUAGAAGUCUGGGCUCUGGACUGAGUUGCUAGUAGUGACUUUCAGGUUUUCUAAGAUCCAAGAGCUAUACAUUUGCAGCUUCCAGGACACCAAAAAGGACUGGACAGAAAGACAUGGUGCUCACACAGUCAUUGAGUGUCUGCUGGUGCACAACAGAAACCACAAAACUUACAAGACUGAUGGAAGAGAGCCUGGUAGGUGAGUUACAGGAAGCUGCCUUUGCUCAAUCCUGAGCACUGGAGUUACAGAACACUGUGGCCACUAGCUUUGAUAUGGGUGAAGACCUGAGCUCAGGUACUCAUGUUUAGUGCUUAAUGGAGGUUUUGCAGCAGAAGAGGCUGUUCUAUUACCUUGGUUCUGCCAUGAUUUUCAAGAUGAGAGUACCCAGCUUGAUGAAGACUCAAGUAGCACAUAAUGAAGUCAAGACCCAGGCCAGGAUAACAAAGGGAGCCGCUGAAGUCUGUUCUGAAGGCACCAUGACAAAGCACCAGACAGAAAGCGGUCACGUGUGGGGAGAUGAGCAGACACCACUUCGCGGGCACCUGAUUAUUCUUUUCUCGGUAUUGAGAAGCAAAAAUUACCCUACGGAAAACAGUUGCAUAUGCAAAACCACAAAUCGCUCAGUGUUAUAAAUGGCACAGUGUAUGCAGAUAAAUCCCCACGCACGGCUCUGAAAAUAUGCCCAGCAGAGGAGAAAUACUGCACAGCUUGUCUUUCCACACUCCGGAUUGCUGCUCUGUUCUUCCAUGGUAUUGUUUAAUCCAAGAAUGAUAAGGACCUUUUAUUUGUAUGUUUGGAGCAUGCUGCUACUUUAAAAAAAAAUCACAGUUUUUCUACAGGCAGAAGGAUGGUCAAGAUGAGCUGCAGCAGCUCCUCCUAGCCAGCUUUAUUUGGAACGUGGAAGACAAGAGCUCAUCCUGUUGGAUGCAUAGAGAAGCAAAUUGGCAAAGAUCAGGAGAAGGUAACAGGCUGUUUUAAAGAGCUAUGUAAAAGAAAACGUCUGAAUUCAAAGGAGGUCAGAUUCUUCAUUGACCCAGGGCAUCAGAAAGGGAAGCCGGCAUGUGCAAUCUUGUCCUCUUUCAUUUUUACCUCCAUGGUCAAAAAGCCGUACCAGAAUGAACACUGUAAAGAAUUUGCUUUCUUCCCCGAGCUUGAGCAUGGAGGAAUUAGCUCCCUGGAUUUCAAGAGGGAAAGGCUGAAGAGGAAGGUGACUGGAAUAUUAAGGACUGUCAGAUAUUCGGAGGAAACUCUAAUUUGUAAAUUGGUAGAAAUGCCAGUAAUUUGUUGGGAAUUGAAGACCUUCUGUAUUCACAAGUGAAGCUUGGCAGCUGUGCACUGUUGUUUUGCAAAUCAAUAUUACAUC